AAGAAAAAAACCGAAAACAAAGAGGGAUGCAACACGAAGACUUUCCUGGAGGUCACCCAUCCUAGUACUACUCUCGCCCAAGUACACUUAACUGCGGUGUUCUGAUAGGAUCAAGUGCAUUAGUGCUGGUAUGAUCGCAUCAGUUACUACAUGCAAUGCAAUCAUAUAUAUUCUUUUUUGAAGACUUUAUGAUCCAUUUGCCGUAGGUCCCACCAGCUAUGUAGGAAUACCCUAUCUUGUUUAUAAGAGCUUUGAUACAUGCAAAAUAUUCGAAAACAAUGUCCGAACAUAUAAUUUUUGUCCCGUAAUAUAGCAAAGAUCACGAAAAGGCCAGAAAAAAUACAUUUCGGUCAAAAUUUGGAGUAGAAAAAAAGCCCUUCCUCAUUCAUUGGACAGCUCUCUUUGGGCUUUCCGAAAAGGUAUCACAUGCCAAGUUUGGCCUCACGGUCUAAACCUUAUAGACUCAUACAUUUUUCACAAAAAAAAGAAGAGAAAAACCAAAAAAAAGAGUGAUUAAACACGAGGAUUUUCCUGGAGGUCACCCAUCCUAGUACUACUCUCGCCCAAGCACGCUUAACUGCGAA
Molecule: small RNA, 584 nt
Filed under: Arabidopsis thaliana (thale cress)
Lineage: Eukaryota; Viridiplantae; Streptophyta; Magnoliopsida; Brassicales; Brassicaceae
Description: ATSL164390
Source: RNAcentral